This 318-nucleotide unclassified non-coding RNA is filed under the name Hevea brasiliensis (rubber tree). The record is from RNAcentral. Lineage: Eukaryota; Viridiplantae; Streptophyta; Magnoliopsida; Malpighiales; Euphorbiaceae.
CCAGUCUCUACCAAUAAAAAGGAACCGAGUAGGGAUAUUGUAAAUGGAUCACUCUCUAGUGUGCUGAUAGAAAAUGGGAAACAGAAUGAACAAAAUCUAGUCACAUCUGCAGUGGAGUACAAGAUGCCUCUUGUUUGGAUUGACAUGGAAAUGACUGGUUUGAAUAUUGAAGUUGAUAGAAUACUGGAGAUUGCAUGUAUAAUUACAGAUGGCAAUUUGACUAAAUCAGUGGAGGGUCCCGAUUUGGUUAUCCAUCAGAGUAAAGAGUGCUUAGAGAAGAUGGGAGAAUGGUGUCAAAGUCAUCAUGCAGCUAGCGGU